CGGAACGGCAUGGGAGGGCCGGCCGCAGCGGGUGACAGCCCCGUACGCGAACCCAGACCGGACGGCGCGACGCGGUCCCUGAGUAGGGCCGGGCACGUGAAACCCGGUCCGAACCUGGGUGGACCACCAUCCAAGCCUGAGUACUACCCUGUGACCGAUAGCGCACCAGUACCGUGAGGGAAAGGUGAAAAGCACCCCGGGAGGGGAGUGAAACAGUACCUGAAACCGUGCGCCCACGAGCAGUCGGAGCAACUUUCAGUUGUGACGGCGUGCCUUUUGUAGAAUGAGCCAGCGAGUCGCUGGCGCGGGGCGAGGUUAACCGAAAGGGAGCCGGAGCGAAAGCGAGCCUUAACAGGGCGACUUGAGUCCCGCGCCGCGGACGCGAAGCCGGGUGAGCUAUCCGUGGGCAGGCUGAAGCGGGGGUAAGACCCCGUGGAGGGCCGAACGCACGUCGGUUGAAAACGGCGGCGAUGACCUGCGGAUAGGGGUGAAAGGCCAAUCAAACCCGGAGAUAUCUCGUUCUCCCCGAAAUAGCUUUAGGGCUAGCGUCGCGCGUUCACCGCCGGAGGUAGAGCACCGGAUGGACGAGGGGGCUUCGCCGCCUACCGAAUCCAACCGAACUCCGAAUGCCGGCGGCCCAGAGCGCGGCAGUCAGAGCAUGUGGGCUAAGCUGUGUGCUCGAGAGGGAAACAGCCCGGACCGCCCGCUAAGGUCCCCAAGUUCCAGCCGAGUGGCAAAGGAUGUGCGUCCGCCCAGACAACCAGGAUGUUGGCUUAGAAGCAGCCAUCCAUUCAAAGAGUGCGUAACAGCUCACUGGUCGAGUGGACAUGCGCCGACAAUACACGGGGCUAAGCUGGACACCGAAGCGGCGGGAUUUUAAUUCAUUAGAAUCGGUAGGGGAGCUUCCCAUGGGCGGAGAAGCCGGAGGGCGACCGACGGUGGAGCGCAUGGGAGUGAGAAUGCUGGCAUGAGUAGCGAGAGACGAGAGAGUAACUCGUCCGCCGUGAACCCGAGGUUUCCUGGGCAAGGCUAAUCCUCCCAGGGUCAGUCGGGGGCUAAGGCGAGGCCGGGAGGCGUAGCCGACGCGCAGCAGGCAGACAUUCCUGCACCGCGCACGCGGCGCUACGACCGACGGGGCGACGGAUGGGGGUGGCUCGGCGGGGUUCUGGACGUCCCCGUGAUGGAGCGCGGCCCGCGGACCAGGGAAAUCCGGUCCGCAGAAGGGCGAGGCUCCGGACGAAGCGAUUGAGCGAAGCGAGUGAGCCCGAGGUCCCUAGAAAAACCCCUAGGCAGGCGCGUGCGCGCCCGUACCGCAAACCGACACAGGUGGGUGGGUAGAACAUACCGAGGCGAUCGGGUCAACCAUGGUCAAGGAACUCGGCACAAUGGCCCCGUAACUUCGGGAGAAGGGGUGCCCGCGCGUACGUGAACGGACUUGCUCCGGGAGCGGAGGCGGGCCGCAGUGGAGAGGCCCAAGCGACUGUUUACCAAAAACACAGGACUCUGCAGAAGCCGCAAGGCGACGUAUAGGGUCUGACGCCUGCCCGGUGCCGGAAGGUCACGCGGAGGAGUUAGCCGAUUCGGCGAAGCCCCGAAGCCAAGCCCCGGUAAACGGCGGCCGUAACUAUAACGGUCCUAAGGUAGCGAAAUUCCUUGUCGGGUAAGUUCCGACCUGCACGAAAGGCGCAACGACUUGGGCGCUGUCUCGACCAUGGACCCGGUGAAAUUGCACUGGUCGUGAAGAUGCGACUUACCCGCGGAAGGACGGAAAGACCCCGUGAACCUUCACUGCAGCUUGGCAUUGGCCGCUGGUCCCGCGUGUAGAGGAUAGGCAGGAGGCACAGAUC
Molecule: ribosomal RNA, 1847 nt
Filed under: human gut metagenome
Description: bacterial LSU rRNA
Rfam family: Bacterial large subunit ribosomal RNA
Source: RNAcentral